GUGGCUGUAGCUCAGUGGCAGAGCGCUUGCCUAGCAUGUGGGAGGCACUGGGUUCCAUCCUCAGCACCACA
This 71-nucleotide transfer RNA is filed under the name Marmota marmota marmota (Alpine marmot). It matches the Rfam family "tRNA". From Rfam's summary of the family: Transfer RNA (tRNA) molecules are approximately 80 nucleotides in length. Their secondary structure includes four short double-helical elements and three loops (D, anti-codon, and T loops). The record is from Rfam by way of RNAcentral. Lineage: Eukaryota; Metazoa; Chordata; Mammalia; Rodentia; Sciuridae. RNAcentral also lists the same sequence under 1 other name.